Molecule: ribosomal RNA, 630 nt
Filed under: uncultured bacterium
Lineage: Bacteria
Description: bacterial SSU rRNA
Rfam family: Bacterial small subunit ribosomal RNA
Source: RNAcentral
GAGGGUGACCGGCCACACUGGAACUGAGACACGGUCCAGACUCCUACGGGAGGCAGCAGUGAGGAAUAUUGCGCAAUGGGCGAAAGCCUGACGCAGCGACGCCGCGUGGAGGAUGAAGGCCUUCGGGUCGUAAACUCCUGUCGAGGGGGACGAAAUGGGGCUCUGUUAAUAGCAGGGCGUCUUGACGGUACCCUUGGAGGAAGCCCCGGCUAACUCCGUGCCAGCAGCCGCGGUAAUACGGAGGGGGCCAGCGUUGCUCGGAAUCACUGGGCGUAAAGGGCUCGUAGGCGGUUUGAUAAGUCCUGUGUGAAAUCCCUUGGCUUAACCAAGGAACUGCGCCGGAUACUGUCGAACUAGAGGCCGGGAGAGGGAAGCGGAAUUCCGAGUGUAGCGGUGAAAUGCGUAGAUAUUCGGAGGAACACCGGUGGCGAAGGCGGCUUCCUGGACCGGUUCUGACGCUGAGGAGCGAAAGCUAGGGUAGCAAACAGGAUUAGAUACCCUGGUAGUCCUAGCUGUAAACGAUGGGCGCUUGGUGUUGCGGGUAUCGACCCCUGCAGUGCCGAAGCUAACGCAUUAAGCGCCCCGCCUGGGGAGUACGGUCGCAGGGCUGAAACUCAAAUGAAUUGACGG